This 253-nucleotide ribosomal RNA is filed under the name uncultured bacterium. RNAcentral describes it as "partial 16S ribosomal RNA". It matches the Rfam family "Bacterial small subunit ribosomal RNA", at positions 524 to 776 of the family's 1533-position model. The record is from RNAcentral.
UACGUAGGGUGCGAGCGUUAAUCGGAAUUCCUGGGCGUAAAGCGUGCGCAGGCGAUUCUCCAAGUCCGUUGUGAAAGCCCCGGGCUCAACCUGGGAAUGGCAGUGGAAACUAGGGGACUUGAAUCUGGCAGAGGGGGGUGGAAUUCCACGUGUAGCAGUGAAAUGCGUAGAGAUGUGGAGGAACACCGAUAGCGAAGGCAGCUUACUAGGCUGUAACUGACGCUGAGGCACGAAAGUGUGGGGAUCAAACAGG